AUUUGACCCUGGUAACAGCCCUCUCCCAGGACCCGGGGUGGGUCAGGGGAAACCUGAGGCUCCAUUCUAAAUUCCCACGGGGAAUGCCCUUCUCCAUGCCACUUCCCAGCCUGCUGGCGCUGUCCCAGCUCCCUAUUCCUCGCACAAUCUCCCCUUUCCAGGAAGUGCUGCCUGCUGCCCCAAAUGUUUCCUGGACUCUGCACCUGAGUGGUUUCCAGCAACUUCUCUGUGUUCUGAACUAGCCUGUAUUCCCAGUGUUUUGGGCAGUUGCUGAUGCCGGGUGGUGCUCAAUAAAUGUUUAUAACUGGCGUA
Suricata suricatta (meerkat) is the source of this 312-nucleotide long non-coding RNA. RefSeq lists it as uncharacterized. NCBI's taxonomy places the organism in Eukaryota, Metazoa, Chordata, Mammalia, Carnivora, Herpestidae. The transcript has 2 exons. The record is from RefSeq and is a predicted model, not a curated record.